GACAGAGGUCCCGAGCGUUAUCCGGAUUCACUGGGCGUGAAGGGCGUCUAGGCGGUCUCGUAAGUCACCUGUGAAAGCUCCUGGCUCAACUGGGAGAGGUCGGGUGAAACUACGGGGCUAGAGCCUCGGAGGGGAGAGUGGAACUUCCAGAGUAACGGUGAAAUGUGCAGAUACUGGAAGGUACCUCGAUAGCGAAGGCAGCUCUCUGGCCGACGGCUGACGCUAAAGCGCGAAAGCGUGGGGAGCAAACCGG
This 253-nucleotide ribosomal RNA is filed under the name uncultured bacterium. RNAcentral describes it as "partial 16S ribosomal RNA". It matches the Rfam family "Bacterial small subunit ribosomal RNA", at positions 524 to 776 of the family's 1533-position model. The record is from RNAcentral.